GCCAACGACCACACCAUGCUGAAAUUACAGGUUCUCGGCCGGUCACCGAAGUCAAGCAAUAUUGUGUGCGGUAAGUGUUUGGGAGGGUGACCACCUUGGAGCACCGCGUGCUGUUGACA
This 119-nucleotide ribosomal RNA is filed under the name Stegodyphus mimosarum. Lineage: Eukaryota; Metazoa; Arthropoda; Arachnida; Araneae; Eresidae. The record is from RNAcentral.